RNAcentral lists this ribosomal RNA (431 nucleotides) under uncultured bacterium. RNAcentral describes it as "partial 16S ribosomal RNA". It matches the Rfam family "Bacterial small subunit ribosomal RNA", at positions 29 to 507 of the family's 1533-position model. The record is from RNAcentral.
AACGAACGCUGGCGGCAGGCUUAACACAUGCAAGUCGAGCGCCCCGCAAGGGGCGCGGCAGGCGGGUGAGUAACGCGUGGGAACGUACCUUUUGGUUCGGAACAACUCCGGGAAACUGGAGCUAAUACCGGAUAAGCCCUAACGGGGAAAGAUUUAUCGCCGAAAGAUCGGCCCGCGUCUGAUUAGCUAGUUGGUGAGGUAACGGCUCACCAAGGCGACGAUCAGUAGCUGGUCUGAGAGGAUGAGCCGCCACACUGCGACUGAGACACGGCCCAGACUCCUACGAGAGGCAGCAGUGGGGAAUAUUGGACGAUGGGCGCAAGACUGAUCCAGCCAUGCCGUGUGAGUGAUGAAGGCCUUAGGGUUGUAAAGCUCUUUUGUCCGGGAAGAUAAUGACUGUACCGGAAGAAUAAGCCCCGGCUAACUUCGUG